UACAUGCAAGUCGAACGCUUUGAUUUCACCGGGUGCUUGCACCCACCGAAGUCAAAGAGUGGCGGACGGGUGAGUAACACGUGGGUAACCUGCCCAUAAGAGGGGGAUAACAUUCGGAAACGGAUGCUAAUACCGCAUACUUCUAAUCGCCUCCUGGCGAAUGGAAAAAGGUGGCUUCGGCUACCGCUUAUGGAUGGACCCGCGGCGUAUUAGCUAGUUGGUGAGGUAAUGGCUCACCAAGGCGAUGAUACGUAGCCGACCUGAGAGGGUGAUCGGCCACACUGGGACUGAGACACGGCCCAGACUCCUACGGGAGGCAGCAGUAGGGAAUCUUCCGCAAUGGACGAAAGUCUGACGGAGCAAUGCCGCGUGAGUGAAGAAGGUUUUCGGAUCGUAAAACUCUGUUGUUAGAGAAGAACAAGGAUGAGAGUAACUGCUCAUCCCCUGACGGUAUCUAACCAGAAAGCCACGGCUAACUACGUGCCAGCAGCCGCGGUAAU
Molecule: ribosomal RNA, 500 nt
Filed under: uncultured bacterium
Lineage: Bacteria
Description: bacterial SSU rRNA
Rfam family: Bacterial small subunit ribosomal RNA
Source: RNAcentral